RNAcentral lists this long non-coding RNA (1833 nucleotides) under Chrysolophus pictus (golden pheasant). RNAcentral describes it as "lncRNA (ENSCPIG00010012240.1)". The record is from RNAcentral. Lineage: Eukaryota; Metazoa; Chordata; Aves; Galliformes; Phasianidae.
CUAAUAUCUGAGAAUGAGUCCUUGUAUCUGAGGUUGAAUCCAAGAAGCUGAAGCUGAAUUCCAAUAGCUGAUAUGUGGGGCGCAAGAAGCAGAUGGCCGAUGCAGGAUGGGGCACAUGGGUGGAGAGCUGCGGGAUGCGUUGUGUAUGGGAUGUGGGGAUGCAGGACACCCCCUAGCCCCACGUGCCCAAUUACAUACAUGUGUGUGCCAUCCCCCCAGGCCCCACGCAGCGCCCAAAGCUGAACCUGAAGCCGCGCAGCGCUCCGAAGGAGGAGGAGAGCACAGCGGCCCCUGCACCGCAGUCCAGCCGCGCCGCCUCCAUCUUUGGGGGGGCCAAACCCGUGGACACGGCCGCCCGCGAGCGUGAGGUGGAGGAGAGGCUGCAGAAGGAACAGGAGAAGCUGCAGCGGCAGCUGGAGGACGACAAGAGGCUGGAGCGGCGGCCCAGGGAGCGGUACCCCAGCAGCCGCAGUGAGGACAACCCCGAGCGGUCACGAACAGGCAGCGAGUCCUCACAGAGCGGAGCUGCAGGACCUGCUGGCACCACCGCCGGCACCGGUCCCACCGGCAGGGGGAGGGGGCGGGGGGGNNNNNNNNNNNNNNNNNNNNNNNNNNNNNNNGGGGGGUGCAGGGAGGGCUCAUCCCCAGCCCUGCCCACCGUUACGUGCCCCCCUGCAGCCACAAGGAGGAGGGAGAGUGAGAAGUCAGUGGAGGGCGAUGCGUGCGGCCGCGAGGAGGAGGGCCGUGAGGAGAAGCAGCCGCUGAAGGUGAUGCCCGCGCCGCCCCCCAAGGAGAAUGCGUGGGCCAAGCGCAGCAGCAGCACCGCCGGGCGCUCCCCAGGCUCUGACUCUGAGCAGCACUCACCCAGCAGCAGCCAGAUGGCUUCCCGCCCACCUGCAGAGAAUGGGGCCACCCCAAGGAGCACCCACCGGAGAGGGGAUGAGAACAAGCCAGAUGGGGGCCGGGAUGGCCCGAAGGCGCGCAGUGGGAGCUCGGCCGAGAGGAAAGAGGGCCGCAAGGAGCAUGAGGCAAGAGCUGCGCCUGAGCCAAAGAGACUGGAGGACAGCCCAGCCCCCUUCAGCCACGCCAGCAAGUAUGCAGCGCUGUCAGUGGAUGGCGAGGAGGAGGAGUGCGGCGAGUGAAGGCCGUCCCCAACCCCAACACCGAAAUGGAACAGAAAACCCAGCGCCGCCCUGCCGAAAUCAAGCCAAGAAUCAGCAUAAGGAAAGGAAAAAAAGGAGGAAAACCGAUAUUGCCAGGCCCUGCCGCUCCGCCCUGCUUCGUUUGGGGUUUUUUUUUGUGGGGGGGUGGGGGUCUUUGGGGGGGUCUGGCCUCAAAUCUCCUCCCCAUCUCCCUCCCUGCCCUGUUGCUGUUGGGGUGGGAGUGCUGUGGGGUGUGGGGCUGUGCGGCACCGGGCGCCGUUGGGUUUUCUGUUGGUUUCCUCCAAUAAAGGUGAUCGGAACGGCCGCACCAGCACUGCGUGGUGGGGGGCACCCGGGGGUCUUCUCAUCCACAUCAUCACCCCAUCCCAUCCUGUUCUCAUCCAUACCCCAAAACCUGCCAUCCUCAUCCCCGUUCUCAUCUGUCCUAAUCCCAUCCCAUCCCAUCCCUGUCACAUUCCCAUUCCCUACCCCAUUCCAAUUCCAAAUCCCGCCCCCACCCUAAUCCCAUCCCCAUUCCAUCCCAUCCUUAUCCAUCCACCCUUCCCUACCAUCCCUGUCACCAUCUCAAUCCCAGUCGCAUCCCAUCCCUGUCACAUUCCUGUUCCCAUUCCAAUCCCCACCCUCAUCCUAUCCGACCCCAAUCCCAUCCCUAUUCCACUCGCACACCCCA